CGGAGGAUAAGAAACUAACAAGGAUUCCCCUAGUAGCGGCGAGCGAAGCGGGAAGAGCUCAAAUUUAUAAUCUGGCACCUUCGGUGUCCGAGUUGUAAUCUCUAGAAGUGUUUUCCGCGUUGGACCGCACACAAGUCUGUUGGAAUACAGCGGCAUAGUGGUGAGACCCCCGUAUAUGGUGCGGACGCCCAACGCUUUGUGAUACACUUUCGAAGAGUCGAGUUGUUUGGGAAUGCAGCUCAAAUUGGGUGGUAAAUUCCAUCUAAAGCUAAAUAUUGGCGAGAGACCGAUAGCGAACAAGUACCGUGAGGGAAAGAUGAAAAGCACUUUGGAAAGAGAGUUAACAGUACGUGAAAUUGUUGGAAGGGAAACGCUUGAAGUCAGACUUGCUUGCCGAGCAAUCGGUUUGCAGGCCAGCAUCAGUUUUCCGGGGUGGAUAAUGGUAGAGAGAAGGUAGCAGUUUCGGCUGUGUUAUAGCUCUCUGCUGGAUACACCUUGGGGGACUGAGGAACGCAGUGUGCCUUACGGCGGAUUUCUCGAGAUCUUCACACUUAGGAUGCUGGUGGAAUGGCUUUAAACGAC
RNAcentral lists this ribosomal RNA (582 nucleotides) under Rhodotorula taiwanensis. Its description in RNAcentral is "LSU rRNA". It matches the Rfam family "Eukaryotic large subunit ribosomal RNA", at positions 51 to 648 of the family's 3401-position model. Lineage: Eukaryota; Fungi; Basidiomycota; Microbotryomycetes; Sporidiobolales; Sporidiobolaceae. The record is from RNAcentral.